This 373-nucleotide ribosomal RNA is filed under the name uncultured bacterium. Its description in RNAcentral is "bacterial SSU rRNA". It matches the Rfam family "Bacterial small subunit ribosomal RNA", at positions 524 to 898 of the family's 1533-position model. The record is from RNAcentral.
UACGGAGGGUGCAAGCGUUAUCCGGAAUCAUUGGGUUUAAAGGGUCCGCAGGCGGUCAUAUAAGUCAGUGGUGAAAGCCUACAGCUCAACUGUAGAACUGCCAUUGAUACUGUAUGACUUGAAUUCGAUCGAAGUGGGCGGAAUAUGACAUGUAGCGGUGAAAUGCUUAGAUAUGUCAUAGAACACCGAUAGCGAAGGCAGCUCACUAGGUCUGGAUUGACGCUCAGGGACGAAAGCGUGGGGAGCAAACAGGAUUAGAUACCCUGGUAGUCCACGCCGUAAACUAUCAAUACUCGUUCUCAGCUCUUCAGGAGUUGGGGACCAAGCGAAAGUGAUAAGUAUUGCACCUGGGGAGUACGAUCGCAAGGUUGAA